RNAcentral lists this ribosomal RNA (2783 nucleotides) under Salmonella enterica subsp. enterica serovar Enteritidis. RNAcentral describes it as "partial 23S ribosomal RNA". It matches the Rfam family "Bacterial large subunit ribosomal RNA". Lineage: Bacteria; Pseudomonadati; Pseudomonadota; Gammaproteobacteria; Enterobacterales; Enterobacteriaceae. The record is from RNAcentral.
GUUGUGAGGUUAAGCGACUAAGCGUACACGGUGGAUGCCCUGGCAGUCAGAGGCGAUGAAGGGCGUACUAAUCUGCGAUAAGCGCCGGUAAGGUGAUAUGAACCGUUAUAACCGGCGAUACCCGAAUGGGGAAACCCAGUGUGAUUCGUCACACUAUCAUUAACUGAAUCCAUAGGUUAAUGAGGCGAACCGGGGGAACUGAAACAUCUAAGUACCCCGAGGAAAAGAAAUCAACCGAGAUUCCCCCAGUAGCGGCGAGCGAACGGGGAGGAGCCCAGAGCCUGAAUCAGCAUGUGUGUUAGUGGAAGCGUCUGGAAAGGCGCGCGAUACAGGGUGACAGCCCCGUACACAAAAGCGCAUGUGCUGUGAGCUCGAUGAGUAGGGCGGGACACGUGGUAUCCUGUCUGAAUAUGGGGGGACCAUCCUCCAAGGCUAAAUACUCCUGACUGACCGAUAGUGAACCAGUACCGUGAGGGAAAGGCGAAAAGAACCCCGGCGAGGGGAGUGAAAAAGAACCUGAAACCGUGUACGUACAAGCAGUGGGAGCACCCUUUGGGUGUGACUGCGUACCUUUUGUAUAAUGGGUCAGCGACUUAUAUUCUGUAGCAAGGUUAACCGAAUAGGGGAGCCGGAGGGAAACCGAGUCUUAAUUGGGCGUUAAGUUGCAGGGUAUAGACCCGAAACCCGGUGAUCUAGCCAUGGGCAGGUUGAAGGUUGGGUAACACUAACUGGAGGACCGAACCGACUAAUGUUGAAAAAUUAGCGGAUGACCUGUGGCUGGGGGUGAAAGGCCAAUCAAACCGGGAGAUAGCUGGUUCUCCCCGAAAGCUAUUUAGGUAGCGCCUCGUGAAUUCAUCUCCGGGGGUAGAGCACUGUUUCGGCUAGGGGGCCAUCCCGGCUUACCAACCCGAUGCAAACUGCGAAUACCGGAGAAUGUUAUCACGGGAGACACACGGCGGGUGCUAACGUCCGUCGUGAAGAGGGAAACAACCCAGACCGCCAGCUAAGGUCCCAAAGUCAUGGUUAAGUGGGAAACGAUGUGGGAAGGCCCAGACAGCCAGGAUGUUGGCUUAGAAGCAGCCAUCAUUUAAAGAAAGCGUAAUAGCUCACUGGUCGAGUCGGCCUGCGCGGAAGAUGUAACGGGGCUAAACCAUGCACCGAAGCUGCGGCAGCGACACUGUGUGUUGUUGGGUAGGGGAGCGUUCUGUAAGCCUGUGAAGGUGUGUCGUGAGGCAUGCUGGAGGUAUCAGAAGUGCGAAUGCUGACAUAAGUAACGAUAAAGCGGGUGAAAAGCCCGCUCGCCGGAAGACCAAGGGUUCCUGUCCAACGUUAAUCGGGGCAGGGUGAGUCGACCCCUAAGGCGAGGCCGAAAGGCGUAGUCGAUGGGAAACGGGUUAAUAUUCCCGUACUUGGUGUUACUGCGAAGGGGGGACGGAGAAGGCUAUGUUGGCCGGGCGACGGUUGUCCCGGUUUAAGCGUGUAGGUGUGUGUUCCAGGUAAAUCCGGUUCACUUUAACACUGAGGCGUGACGACGAGGCACUACGGUGCUGAAGCAACAAAUGCCCUGCUUCCAGGAAAAGCCUCUAAGCAUCAGGUAACAUCAAAUCGUACCCCAAACCGACACAGGUGGUCAGGUAGAGAAUACCAAGGCGCUUGAGAGAACUCGGGUGAAGGAACUAGGCAAAAUGGUGCCGUAACUUCGGGAGAAGGCACGCUGACACGUAGGUGAAGUGAUUUACUCAUGGAGCUGAAGUCAGUCGAAGAUACCAGCUGGCUGCAACUGUUUAUUAAAAACACAGCACUGUGCAAACACGAAAGUGGACGUAUACGGUGUGACGCCUGCCCGGUGCCGGAAGGUUAAUUGAUGGGGUCAGCGCAAGCGAAGCUCCUGAUCGAAGCCCCGGUAAACGGCGGCCGUAACUAUAACGGUCCUAAGGUAGCGAAAUUCCUUGUCGGGUAAGUUCCGACCUGCACGAAUGGCGUAAUGAUGGCCAGGCUGUCUCCACCCGAGACUCAGUGAAAUUGAACUCGCUGUGAAGAUGCAGUGUACCCGCGGCAAGACGGAAAGACCCCGUGAACCUUUACUAUAGCUUGACACUGAACAUUGAGCCUUGAUGUGUAGGAUAGGUGGGAGGCUUUGAAGUGUGGACGCCAGUCUGCAUGGAGCCGACCUUGAAAUACCACCCUUUAAUGUUUGAUGUUCUAACGUGGACCCGUUACCCGGGUUGCGGACAGUGUCUGGUGGGUAGUUUGACUGGGGCGGUCUCCUCCUAAAGAGUAACGGAGGAGCACGAAGGUUGGCUAAUCCUGGUCGGACAUCAGGAGGUUAGUGCAAUGGCAUAAGCCAGCUUGACUGCGAGCGUGACGGCGCGAGCAGGUGCGAAAGCAGGUCAUAGUGAUCCGGUGGUUCUGAAUGGAAGGGCCAUCGCUCAACGGAUAAAAGGUACUCCGGGGAUAACAGGCUGAUACCGCCCAAGAGUUCAUAUCGACGGCGGUGUUUGGCACCUCGAUGUCGGCUCAUCACAUCCUGGGGCUGAAGUAGGUCCCAAGGGUAUGGCUGUUCGCCAUUUAAAGUGGUACGCGAGCUGGGUUUAGAACGUCGUGAGACAGUUCGGUCCCUAUCUGCCGUGGGCGCUGGAGAACUGAGGGGGGCUGCUCCUAGUACGAGAGGACCGGAGUGGACGCAUCACUGGUGUUCGGGUUGUCAUGCCAAUGGCACUGCCCGGUAGCUAAAUGCGGAAGAGAUAAGUGCUGAAAGCAUCUAAGCACGAAACUUGCCCCGA